This 1244-nucleotide long non-coding RNA is filed under the name Rattus norvegicus (Norway rat). RNAcentral describes it as "long non-coding RNA NONRATT027576". Lineage: Eukaryota; Metazoa; Chordata; Mammalia; Rodentia; Muridae. The record is from RNAcentral.
GCCUAGGUGAAGGGGACGGAGAGCGAGGGGUGAGCCCUGGUGAGGAACCUGAAAGCCAGGAUGGCUGGCAUGGUGCUGGGAGUGGGUGCUGGCGUGUUCCUCCUCGCUCUGCUCUGGGUGUUGGUGCUGCUGCUGUGUGUGCUGUUAUGCAGAGCCUCUGGGAUAGCUAGGUUCUCCAUCAUCUUCGUCUUCCUGGGUGCUCUGAUCAUCACCACAGUUCUAUUGCUUUUCCCUCGAGCCAGUGAAUUCCCGGCCCCACAAGGUGAAAUGAAGAUUGUGGAUGCCUUUUUCAUCGGCCGCUAUGUCCUGCUGGCUUUUCUCAGUGCUGUCUUUCUUGGAGGCCUCUUCCUGCUUCUUACUCAUCAUGUGCUGGAGCCAAUCUAUGCCAAGCCACUGAGGUCCUGCUGAGCGUGGUAACGGAAGCACGGGACAUGUUGGCAUCAUGGAUGAUAAGCACAAAGGCACUCUCCGGAGCCUCGGCCACCUUCAUGUCUUCAGACUAGAGGAAUAACCAUUUGUUGCUAAGGCAGUCCUCCUGAGCCUUGGCCUUCAGAAACUCAGUAGCAAAGCAGAGUCCAUGGAUGUAAAUUGUCACCAUCAAGACAGGCACAACUGUCUUCUCAGAACCCACACUCAGGAUUUCUGUCUGUUUUGAAUGAAUAGCAGUGACAGUGAUCCGCCUUGGGUAAAUGUUCAGUCAAGCUGUGAGUAGUGGACUUGGGGGAAAGGAGUUUUGGGCUCUGUUGUCCAACAGAAGAAGCCGGUCCUUUUUAAUAACGUAUAAAUAAAGUUCUCAGUUGAGUAUUUGGAACCGUUUGGAAGAGAAAGGCACUCAAACAUGAAAUUGCUUUAAUGAGAUAGUAUGGAAGACGUAUGAGACAUCGUUUGUUGACCAUUCCUUAUGUGCAGUCCCACUGAGCUCUGUAAAGACAGUGUGUGGCACUGCCUGAGUUCCAACAACGCAAUAAACAAACUCAUGGCUACAGCUUUUGGGUAUCUACAUUUGAAGUUUGCUCAGAGAUUAGAAGGGAGGUACGGAAAUGUUAGAUGUCUUCCUGCCAUGUAUUUUGGGUCUUUUUCUCCCAAAUUUGGUGGCCUUCGGAUGCUUUAAGUGUUUAGUAUUGUGUAUGUGUCCACUUUGGGCUUUGGCCCUUUCUAGUUUCUUUCUUUGGCAGUAUUAUACAUUGAACCCAUGGCCUCAUACAAGUACACUACUAUCCUAUCCCUCUACUUACAAUUUUUGU